Molecule: long non-coding RNA, 4378 nt
Organism: Gallus gallus (chicken)
Lineage: Eukaryota; Metazoa; Chordata; Aves; Galliformes; Phasianidae
Exons: 4
Source: RefSeq, a predicted model, not a curated record
GCUGGGCCGCCCGGCGUGGGCAGCGCCGGCUCUGGGGCAGCGCCGAGGGGUCGCGCCCGCAGCUCGGGCUGGUUUAUAUAGAGACACGGCACCACUGAGGUUGGAAAAACGUCGAGAGUCCCCAAGUCCAACCCCAACCCACCCCCACCGUGCCCACCGACCGUGUCCCUCAGCGCCGCAUCCCCACGGUUUCCAGCCUGUCCCAAUGCAUCACUACUCUUUCGGAGGAUAAACGCAUCCUAUUAUCCAAAGAGAACCUGCCUUGGUGCAGCUUCAGGCCAUUACUUCUUGUCCUGCCAUAGAAUGGCUUGGGUUGGAAGGGACCUCAAGAAUCAUCAAGUUCCAACCCCUGCCAUAGCCAGUCUGUGUUGCUGGCAAAAUUAAGUACUAGAUCAGAUUUCCCAGAGCCCCCUCCAGCCUGGCCUAUCACCCACUUGCAAUUGGUCCACAGUGCUUGAUGGCAGAUGCUGCUCAGCUGAGUUUGAGGUGCAGGGACAGAGACGGAGGAAGAAAUAGCAAGCAGCGGUACAUCAAGUGGCUUGGAAGAAAAAUGGGAGGAAAAAGAAAACCAACACCCUCCAAGGAUGCUUUUGUGAUAGGAGCAGAUGAAAGUGGAAGAAAAUCAGGGCUGCUAUCUGUUAUGUACGAGUAGGAGGCUGCGUUCCUUUCCGUGAUAAAUCUUUUCAGGUGCUGUUACCCUGUGGGACACCAGGCAGGUGUUACUGUUACAUCCUGUUUUGUAAACCCAAAAUGAAUAACAAACCUCUGAAGCAAAACUUUUCGGAGAAGGAAUGUUUGUCACGCUGACUCAGUUGAGCGUAGUGUUAUCUUUGGUAUGUAGACGGAUUUUUUUUUCUUAAAUAGGAAGUCAAAAUGAGUAACAUCUAAUGAACUGAUAAGCAACAUUUCCAAAGAGUACAACUGUGAGAGAAGUCAAGGAUUUGAGCAAUUAUAUCUUUUUCCUACAUUUGCUAAUCAGCUAUUACAAGAGUGAUGAGAAGGCUGACAUGCAUGAGAAAUACCCUUCUGAUAAUAAGCGCUUUGUUUCACACUUUUCUAGGUUCACAAAACUUGAAUCAAGUCACAUCCCAAUUGUUUUCCACUCUCAUCCACCUCUGAAGUUCCUGAUACCAUCAAGCUAUCGUCACACAGAGUGAGGUGGGAGAACUUCAGUCCGGCUGCAGGAUUGGUCCCAGCGUGUGCUGGAACACAGACAGACUGGAUGUUUUAUCCCCAACUUAUAGAAAAAAAAAUUGAGGCGAGGAAGUGAAGGCAUUCAUUUUUAAAGUGUAGAAGUUCUAAUUUAAAGAAUAAUGCUCAGAGUGAAGUCUGCACUGGGAGCGUUGUUCCAUGCGAAGCACCAUGACUCAGAGCAGCUUUGGGUGUACAUGAGGAGCUGUGACCUAAUGAGGCACUGUGCAACUCCUAACCACAUGAAGCCAUACGAAGCUCCACGUUCAGCCACUUUAAAACAAGCUGUUAAGUGCUGCAAAGCUUCAGGAUUACACAACUGAUGAGCACAGAGCAUCUGUGGCAAAGGAAAAAAACACCAUCUUCAAAUUUUGAGGAGCAAACAUGACCCUUUCUGUUUCCACUGAUUUCCACCCACAUUCAGUCAGUGCGAGAGAAGGAGGAAAAUGAAAAAAAGGCAGAUUUUCUUUGCAUGGAAGGACUGAAGAAUGUAUUGUUUUCUCAAUCACAAGCAAGCGCUUUCAUCACCGUCUUUGCUCUACAUUCUGAGUGACAGAGAGUUUUCUAUAUUUCACUUGUAUAACUUAGGAGAGGUCACAUUUGUAAAAGUCCCUCUGCAGAAGUGAGCCUUCUCUUUGGAUGUAUGCAAAUUCUACAGCACAUAUGCAGUUUGUAAUUUGCCGAUAGGUAUAAGCAUAUGCAAAAUGGAGAUUAAAUGUGUAUGUGCAAGUUUGCAAAAUUAAUCAACCGAGAAUACACAGAACUACAAAUGCUUUGUUGAAAAGAUUUAUGAACUAGCCUCCUAUAGAAGCUUUCACUCAGGGAUGCUAAAUACACUUCAUUUUUUAUUAAUAAUUAAUAAUUUAUAUGAUUUACACGAUAAUAUUUUUCACCCAUAAUAGCAUUUUAAAAAUAUAUCCCAGUCGUGUAAGGACCUGUCAGUGCUUCUGCCUAUUCACGAGUGCUUUAGUGGUGCUUUUUAUGAGUAUAAAAUGCUGCCAGUCUGGAGCCCCUCCAGGAUUAGAUCUUAAUCCCUAAAGAUAUGUAAGUGCUACCACCUCUGUUUUACAGAUUGAAAACUGGGAGUUGAAUGGGCAAAUGCAUGCAAGUUUACACACAGUCCAUAAUGGCAUAAAGAAAGAAAGUCUAGACACCAAACUCGUGAAGAGUAUUGUAAGGACAAUUACUUUCCCUUCUUAGAGACACUUUCAUACCAGCAGCUGAUCAGAACAUUAUCAACAGAAAAAUCAAAGCCGUUGGCCUCACUGCAAGUCCUGUGUUUCAGCGUGCAGCCAGAUGAGCUGGGAGCCUACAUUCUGUCCUCAGAAAUUGAAGCAAAGUGUGUUCAAAUGAUUCUCACAAUGCAAGAGGCAAAAAAGCAAUGUUUCCUUUCAGUAUACCUUUUACUAGAACUGGGUACAAUGGGGUGUAAUUAUUUUCAGAACAUUAACAAUAUCUGCUAUCUUCCUCCCAUCCUAGGUAGAAUUGUAAUCUGAUGUGUUUUUGCUUUGUAAUUUUCUAAAACGAAAAAUUCUGAUUUAACCAAACCUCUUCAGAAGGAAACUGACUGAUAUUAUCUUACUUCCCUCUUUUCUUAUUGUGGAAUUGUUGAGAGAAUGCCAGUUGUUGCUUCUUGUCAUCGCAGCUUUCUAUUGCUUGUUGAAGGCAAUAAAUAUGAACCAGAAGACUACUUAAAAACUGACCAGCGUGCAGAAUUCAAAUGUGUAGGUAGUAACACAAUGACAAUAUCAAUCUAAUUUUUCAUUCAUUACUUAAUUACAAAUACACACAUACACAAGCGCACAAAUUCUGCCUUCUGAAAAGCAAUUAAUUGACUUCACGGGAUUUUUUCAGCAAAAAUGUUAAAGAGUUUUUAUUUCUCAGGUACUAAAGUGGGAGUGAAUGAACAUCUCUGCCUUUCAGAGGGUUGCAGCAAAAGUCACUGACACUUGGUAUCGUCAAAAGUAGGAAAACUGGGAACUGCAAUAUGAAAUGAACGGCCAAGACUGAUGAUCACUCGGAUAUUUCUGACUCCACACAGAAGGCCUGUUUUGUCCCACGUGUGGUAUUAAGAGACUGGAAGGUUCUGUUUGCCUCUGAACUGGGUUAAUGGAUCCUGAGGACAGUCCUCCCAGCAAUAGCAUGUAUUGAGGGAUCUGCACAGGUUUCACAGCUGCACAGUGCAGAGUUGCUCUGCAAGGCAUGAGCUAAUGUACAGUUGAUUUCUCUCCGGGGGGCACUUUGAUUCUUGGUUUCAGAGGGGACCCUUUCAGUGUUCCUAAUGAUGUUUUUGGCUACAAAGCCUGGCAGCGUUAAAGCAUUGGUGAGGGCUCUGCACAACUGACACCAAAGAAAUGAAGCUUAAAGAGCUGUAGCAAAAGCCGUCACACUGCUGCUGCCCACCACUCAAACAGAGAAAGGUAUAAGUACCAAAAAAAAAAAAAAAACCCAAGCUCUGUGAGCAGAGUAACAAAGCUGUUUGCUAUUAUGGACAAAAGCUGCAGGAAAAAAAAAAAAUGAAGAGGAAAUGGGCUGUAUUACUGUGAGUUGGCACAGAAAUGAAAUACCAGGGUGCAAUUUAUGUAUAGUAAUUGUUCACGAAGCAUUCUUUUGGUUUUGAUAGUGACUCAUUGUGUUCUUUGUGACCUUUGAUGUACAGGAUGGGCUGCUAGAAGACAGAGGAAGCCACAGUAAGAAUAUAAAACUUUAUUAACUUAAGAUUUUGUUGUUUUGUUUUGUUUUUAUUGCUCACUGAUCAUAGGUAGUAUCUCUGGGAAAAACUACCAAGGGCAUUUACUUGAGUCCUUAUGGUUUUGCCUUCCCUCCCAGGCAUUUGCACUUUGAGAAAUAGCUCUGGUUUAGCUGAAAAAAUUGCUUUGGUUUUAAAGAGGAAAUUUGUUAAACAAUUGGUUGCUGAUGCUGAUUACUGAGUUCUGAAAAAUAAAAUAACCAAUUGAAAUACCACUGCGGUGGUAGGCCAGGUAAUGAGCAGUGAUGGGCACAGCGCAGCACAGAUGGAAAAUGUAUUGGGAGGAUAUUCUUCUGAGUGAAUAUUUUAUGUUAAAAAAAAAAAAUACAAAAAAAUCCUUUCUUACAGUCAUCGGAGUUGACACAACAGACUCUUCAGUGCUGUUAAGUUCCAUUAUGUAAAUCCAUAGUGAUGUAAGCCAGACACUGUCAAGUUUGA